AUUUUCCUGUUGCUCCUCUGGCCACCCUCCCAAUGGAUCCGUGUGGUCCCUGGCAGGAAUGUCUUGCUUGGGGACCGAGUGAGCUCUUAGAGCCUUUCUGCUGCUUCCUCUACCCCUGUAUUUUACUCAGCUCUCUAAAUUGACUCAGUGCCAGGUCUGCUGCAGUUUGCUGGAGGUCCACUCCAGACUCUAUGUACCUGGAUAUCACCAGCGGAAGCUGCAGAAUAGCAAAGAUUGCUUCCUGGUCCUUCCUCUGGAAGCUUCAUCCCAGAGGGGCACUGGCCUGAUGUCAGCUGGAGCUCUCCUGUAUGAGCCUCCGGUAAUCACCAUUUUACUCUCUACCUCCAUGAGAUCAACUUUUUUAGCUCCCACAGUUGGUGCUCCAUCUAUACCAGGUUGCUACUUCAUGUUUGGACUUGGAUGAAACAGCAUACUAUAAGGCAUGAAACCUGGCUUCCUGAGUGACAGCUGAGAGGAGAGAUGUAGCUGAACCAAUCAGCUACAACGUCAUUCCAGUGUCCAUACUUACAUAGUGGAAAAUCCUCUAAAGCCCACUUCUGAGAGAACACUAAUUUCUAGAUUUCACAUUUCCCGAAUCCCGUAUAAGAUCAGUUCUUUCUUGGU
RNAcentral lists this long non-coding RNA (624 nucleotides) under Homo sapiens (human). RNAcentral's name for it is "non-protein coding lnc-KHNYN-2:6". The record is from RNAcentral. Lineage: Eukaryota; Metazoa; Chordata; Mammalia; Primates; Hominidae.